AAACGGGGUCCUUAGAUGGUA
This 21-nucleotide non-coding RNA is filed under the name Arabidopsis thaliana (thale cress). Lineage: Eukaryota; Viridiplantae; Streptophyta; Magnoliopsida; Brassicales; Brassicaceae. The record is from RNAcentral.